UCCCGUGGCCAUACCGGAGGGGUCACACCCGUUCCCAUUCCGAACACGGAAGUUAAGCCUUCCAGGGCCGAUGGUACUGCAUGGGCAACUGUGUGGGAGAGUAGGACGUCGCGGGAU
This 117-nucleotide ribosomal RNA is filed under the name Deltaproteobacteria bacterium. The record is from RNAcentral. Lineage: Bacteria; Pseudomonadati; Myxococcota; Myxococcia.